AUCCAGCUGACGAGUCCCAAAGAGGACGAAACGCUCGUCCUGGAU
This 45-nucleotide non-coding RNA is filed under the name Schistosoma curassoni. Lineage: Eukaryota; Metazoa; Platyhelminthes; Trematoda; Strigeidida; Schistosomatidae. The record is from RNAcentral.